RNAcentral lists this long non-coding RNA (947 nucleotides) under Brassica napus (rape). RNAcentral describes it as "long non-coding RNA (BNAP_LNC014331)". Lineage: Eukaryota; Viridiplantae; Streptophyta; Magnoliopsida; Brassicales; Brassicaceae. The record is from RNAcentral.
AGAAAUAAAGAUUCAAAGGGGUAAGCUAAAAGAAUCGAACCAGAGAUAUGAGGGAGCAGUAUGCGAACUUUACCAAAAAAUUUUUUUUGUCAACUUUUUAAUUUUAUAAAUCUCAAAGGGCUAAAAAGAGUACAAUUUUUAGGGUUUCCACGUUAUACAUACGUGGCAACUUAAUACUAAAGAUACAAACACGUGGUUAAAAGAGAACAUGCAAUUCUGAACUGAGCUCCUCCACCGGCAAUUCUCGAGUGCCGCCGUAAAUUGAAGCUUUGUCUUCUCUGCCGCAAGCUUGCAUCGUCAUUGAUUUGUACUCCCCGAACUCCUCCUUUCACCCAAACCUUUGCUCGUAUUCAGGAUCUCCGUCUACAUCAGAUGUUAACUCUGAAAAUGCUCAAAUAACCGGAUAAGAGAACUUUUGUCAGACCAUCUUCAGGCUAUAGAGAAGAUGCCGACUCUGCUAGAUCUCCUUCCAAGUCAGCUGAGGCCAUAUCCAUCAUCACUGCUUCCUUUCUGCUGAGAUACUUUACUCAUAAGCCAUCUAACAGCUCCAUAGAAGAAGAGUAAAGAUUGACUCUCUUAAGAAAAGAUUAAGUGCAUGUCUGAGAAGAAAGAGAAAGCCAAAACACCGAACAAAUGGAAUCUAAACAUUUCUUUGUGAAAGAGGAGAACGUGAACUUUAUUUAUCUCAAUACAAAUAAGGAGAAGCUAAAGCGUGAAGAACAAGCCCAAAUAUGUAUUGAGAUUACACUUCAAAAUCGCCAAACGAAGUUUAAAAAUCCGCCAAGCGGAAGCUAAAAUCGCCUAAGCGAAGAUAUAGAGAAGUAUUUUACAACAAAACAUAAGGCAAAUCUCUUUCUCCCUGUGAAAGAUAAGAAUAUGUGAACAGGGAAAGAAAGAGAGAAUUCUUUCUCUCUAAGGAGAAGAGAGAGAACCCUCCUGAACUUUAC